GACGAACGCUGGCGGCGUGCUUAACACAUGCAAGUCGAACGGAAAGGCCCUGCUUUUGUGGGGUGCUCGAGUGGCGAACGGGUGAGUAACACGUGAGUAACCUGCCCUUGACUUUGGGAUAACUUCAGGAAACUGGGGCUAAUACCGGAUAGGAGCUCCUGCUGCAUGGUGGGGGUUGGAAAGUUUCGGCGGUUGGGGAUGGACUCGCGGCUUAUCAGCUUGUUGGUGGGGUAGUGGCUUACCAAGGCUUUGGCGGGUAGCCGGCCUGAGAGGGUGACCGGGGACGAGGGGGCGGAGAGACGGGCGGGAGGGGGAGGGGAGGCAGCAGGGGGGAGUGGGGCAGAAGGGGCGGGAGGGUGAUGCAGCAGCGCCGGGGGGGGGAGGGGGGGCGGCGGGUGGGGGGACGCGGGGGCCGGGGACGAAGGGGGAGUGAGGGUAGUGGGGAAAGAGGCGCCGGCGAACUACGUG
Molecule: ribosomal RNA, 468 nt
Filed under: uncultured bacterium
Lineage: Bacteria
Description: partial 16S ribosomal RNA
Rfam family: Bacterial small subunit ribosomal RNA (bases 13-373)
Source: RNAcentral